UACGUAGGGGGCAAGCGUUGUCCGGAAUCAUUGGGCGUAAAGCGCGCGUAGGCGGCCCGGUAAGUCCGCUCUGAAAGUCAAAGGCUCAACCUUUGAAAGCGGGUGGAUACUGUCGGGCUAGAGUCCGGAAGAGGCGAGUGGAAUUCCUGGUGUAGCGGUGAAAUGCGCAGAUAUCAGGAGGAACACCAAUGGCGAAGGCAGCUCGCUGGGACGUGACUGACGCUGAGACGCGAAAGCGUGGGGAGCAAACAGG
RNAcentral lists this ribosomal RNA (253 nucleotides) under uncultured bacterium. RNAcentral's name for it is "partial 16S ribosomal RNA". It matches the Rfam family "Bacterial small subunit ribosomal RNA", at positions 524 to 776 of the family's 1533-position model. The record is from RNAcentral.